CCUACGGGUGGCAGCAGUGAGGAAUAUUGGUCAAUGGACGCAAGUCUGAACCAGCCAUGCCGCGUGCAGGAAGACGGCUCUAUGAGUUGUAAACUGCUUUUGUACGAGGGUAAACGCAGAUACGCGUAUCUGUCUGAAAGUAUCGUACGAAUAAGGAUCGGCUAACUCCGUGCCAGCAGCCGCGGUAAUACGGAGGAUUCAAGCGUUAUCCGGAUUUAUUGGGUUUAAAGGGUGCGUAGGCGGUCGGAUAAGUUAGAGGUGAAAUCCCGAGGCUCAACUUCGGAAUUGCCUCUGAUACUGUUCGGCUAGAGAGUAGGUGCGGUAGGCGGAAUGUAUGGUGUAGCGGUGGAAUGCUUAGAGAUCAUACAGAACACCGAUUGCGAAGGCAGCUUGCCAGGCUACUUCUGACGUUGAGGCACGAAAGCGUGGGGAGCAAACAGGAUUAGAUACCCUUGUAGUC
Molecule: ribosomal RNA, 460 nt
Filed under: uncultured bacterium
Lineage: Bacteria
Description: partial 16S ribosomal RNA
Rfam family: Bacterial small subunit ribosomal RNA
Source: RNAcentral